UACGAAGGGGGCUAGCGUUGCUCGGAAUCACUGGGCGUAAAGCGCACGUAGGCGGCCUCAUAAGUCGGAUGUGAAAUCCCUCGGCUCAACCGAGGACGUGCAUCCGAAACUGUGAAGCUCGAGUAUGGAAGAGGGUCGCGGAAUUCCCGGUGUAGAGGUGAAAUUCGUAGAUAUCGGGAGGAACACCAGUGGCGAAGGCGGCGACCUGGGCCAAUACUGACGCUGAGGUGCGAAAGCGUGGGGAGCAAACAGG
This 253-nucleotide ribosomal RNA is filed under the name uncultured bacterium. Its description in RNAcentral is "partial 16S ribosomal RNA". It matches the Rfam family "Bacterial small subunit ribosomal RNA", at positions 524 to 776 of the family's 1533-position model. The record is from RNAcentral.